Molecule: ribosomal RNA, 524 nt
Filed under: uncultured bacterium
Lineage: Bacteria
Description: partial 16S ribosomal RNA
Rfam family: Bacterial small subunit ribosomal RNA
Source: RNAcentral
GACGAACGCUGGCGGCGUGCCUAAUACAUGCAAGUCGAGCGCAGGAAGCUGACGGAACUCUUCGGAGAGAAGGCAGUGGAAUGAGCGGCGGACGGGUAAGUAACACGUAAGGAACCUGCCUCAAGGAUUGGGAUAACUCCGAGAAAUCGGAGCUAAUACCGGAUAGUUCAACGGACCGCAUGGUCCGCUGAUGAAAGGCGCUUCGGCGUCACCUUGAGAUGGCCUUGCGGUGCAUUAGCUAGUUGGUGGGGUAACGGCCCACCAAGGCGACGAUGCAUAGCCGACCUGAGAGGGUGAUCGGCCACACUGGGACUGAGACACGGCCCAGACUCCUACGGGAGGCAGCAGUAGGGAAUCUUCCACAAUGGACGAAAGUCUGAUGGAGCAACGCCGCGUGAGUGAUGAAGGUUCUCGGAUCGUAAAACUCUGUUGUAAGGGAAGAACACGUACGAGAGGGAAUGCUCGUACCUUGACGGUACCUUACGAGAAAGCCACGGCUAACUACGUGCCAGCCGCCGCCGUAA